ACUUAAAUUUUAAGCUUCUACACCUAAAAAUAAUUUUAAUCCAACAUCGAGGUCGCAAACUUUUUUAUAAAUAUGAACUUUUAAAAAAAAUUACGCUGUUAUCCCUAAGGUAAUUUAAAUUUCUAAUCAAUAAAAUAGGAUCAAUUAUUCAUUAAUUUAUGUUUUUUAAUAAUAAAAGGUUUUUAAAUUUUAUUGUCACCCCAACAUAAUAUUAAAAAUUAUAAAAAUUUAACUUUUCAUAAAAAUUUAUAUAAUUAUUAAUAUAAAACUCUAUAGGGUCUUCUCGUCUUUUAAUUAUAUUUAAGCAUUUUAACUUAAAAUUUAAAUUUUACUAUAAUUUUUAUGAUACAGUUUAUAUUUCGUUCAACCUUUCAUACAAGUUUUCAAUUAAAAAACUAAUGAU
This 403-nucleotide ribosomal RNA is filed under the name Arachnocampa flava (prey-luring glowworm). RNAcentral's name for it is "partial 16S large subunit ribosomal RNA". The record is from RNAcentral. Lineage: Eukaryota; Metazoa; Arthropoda; Insecta; Diptera; Keroplatidae.